This 1574-nucleotide small RNA is filed under the name Cryptococcus neoformans H99. RNAcentral describes it as "Cryptococcus neoformans var. grubii H99 hypothetical RNA". Lineage: Eukaryota; Fungi; Basidiomycota; Tremellomycetes; Tremellales; Cryptococcaceae. The record is from RNAcentral.
GAGAUCGAUUCAAUUAUUGGUCUUCUGCUGGUCAUGGUAUGCGUUCCCGUCUGUUGCCCGUGAUUGGUACGUCGAGUUUUGUUCUUCCGUACAUGACAUAUUCGUAUGGCAUCGCCAAUCACAUCCUACGAAACUCACCACACUGUCGAGCCAUAACAACGAAUUUCGGUAUCAAAUCGUAGUGACCUCUUCGGGCUACGUUUUUCACUAAUUUUCGGGUUUCUCUCUUACUUAAAGGCGUUCGUGUUGUUUUUACUUACAUCUUGGACGGAGCUGCUUUGUCGGUAGAUAAUACGGAUAGCAUAAUGCAUUUCAAGCGUACAUACAGUCAACAUAACAACCUCGAGACCCCGAACGAAAGAUCUCGCGAAAAACACCCAAAAGGAAUUAUAAAACAACAACCUCGCAAUCUCUUUUUUACAGUUUACCGAUACUUCUAUCUGCCUCGGCUUGAUAUAGACUCAAAUCGACCUUGCUCAACUUCAGACGAGAGAGGCACUGAAUGGUGGAUGGAGAGAGUGGGCGGAGGGAUAGAUUACUCAGAGUCGGAAGAAAACGAACAAGGAGAAGGAUGAGCGCGAAUAAAGGAGAUCUAACAAAUGCGAGCAUACGAGUGUCAGGACAUCAAUCUAUGCGGCCCAACUGAGGGAGACAGCUGCAAAAAUAAGAAAGACGAGCCUACCUUCCAGUCUUCUUUCUCUUCAUCAAAGAACACCUGAUGAAUAAUCUGGAACUUGGGGAACCAAUUAACAGGGAUCUUGGGGAUCAUGAUCAAGGCGAUCAAAGACUUACGCGAUCAUCCGUCUUCAUAGCCUUGAAAAGUUCCUCGGCAUCACGAGUACCCUUAUAUCUCUCAUGCCAAUCCUUUGAGGGUAAUCCAAAAGAAGUGGAAAAGGGAAUAGGACCGACAUUUUGAGAAGCCAAUCUGUCGAUCAUGUCUUCCCAAGCUCUCGAAUAAGUUGACGAAGAGGAGCUGAUAGAGGCGGUGGAGAUGGCAGAACUGUCAGAGGAGGUGGAGAGGGAGCGAAAGGAUUUGUGGCUGAGAUUCAUGGUAUGGAUAAAGUCGGAGGGCGUAAAAAGGGCGAGUGAAGGGCGAAUAGACUGGACAGACGUAUAAGUCGUCGUUGUGUGGUAAGAGGGGAAUGUUAUAUCGAGAGCCAGUGGCGCGUUCAGAUCAUAAAGUCAGAAGAGAAUAUGGAGAAGUUAGGGGCCAGCAGCUUGGUUUUUAUACCUCUUUUGAACCCUUACCAAUGGAUUCGGUCAAACGCCAUAUUGCCUCAACAGCUCCGAACUUGUUGAUUUCUUGUUGUAAUCACAAGAUGCCGGUAACAAACAUACCCUUUUCCCCACGCCAACUAUCGGGCAUCGAGAUUGUCUCGUACUGUUACAGGCAGGAGUGGUAUCUUUUUGAGAUUGCGUGCGUGGUGUGAUGGCUGAUGGAAGAUGAACGGAAGGCGAUGGGCGAUGAUAACCGUGGAAUGGCGGAUGAUGAUCAUUUUGCAAGCUCGAGAAUGAGACAGUCGCAUAUGUUCAGUGAGUUCCGUGAAGAACGGAAAAGGGGAUAAGGUGUGCCU